GCUCAGUUGGUAAAGCGCAAGGCUCUUAACCUUGUGGACGUGGAUUCAAGUCCCAU
This is a non-coding RNA of Triticum aestivum (bread wheat), 56 nucleotides long. The record is from Rfam. Lineage: Eukaryota; Viridiplantae; Streptophyta; Magnoliopsida; Poales; Poaceae.